UGGGGAAUUUUGGACAAUGGGCGAAAGCCUGAUCCAGCAAUGCCGCGUGUGUGAAGAAGACCUUCGGGUUGUAAAGCACUUUUGUCCGGAAAGAAAUCCUUGGCUCUAAUACAGUCGGGGGAUGACGGUACCGGAAGAAUAAGCACCGGCUAACUACGUGCCAGCAGCCGCGGUAAUACGUAGGGUGCAAGCGUUAAUCGGAAUUACUGGGCGUAAAGCGUGCGCAGGCGGUUUGCUAAGACCGAUGUGAAAUCCCCGGGCUCAACCUGGGAACUGCAUUGGUGACUGGCAGGCUAGAGUAUGGCAGAGGGGGGUAGAAUUCCACGUGUAGCAGUGAAAUGCGUAGAGAUGUGGAGGAAUACCGAUGGCGAAGGCAGCCCCCUGGGCCAAUACUGACGCUCAUGCACGAAAGCGUGGGGAGCAAACAGGAUUAGAUACCCUGGUAGUCCACGCCCUAAACGAUGUCAACUAGUUGUUGGGGAUUCAUUUCCUUAGUAACGUAGCUAACGCGUGAAGUUGACCGCCUGGGGAGUACGGUCGCAAGAUUAAAACUCAAAUGAAUU
RNAcentral lists this ribosomal RNA (563 nucleotides) under uncultured bacterium. RNAcentral describes it as "partial 16S ribosomal RNA". It matches the Rfam family "Bacterial small subunit ribosomal RNA", at positions 355 to 911 of the family's 1533-position model. The record is from RNAcentral.